GUACGAUCGCAAGAUUAAAACUCAAAGGAAUUGACGGGGCCCCGCACAAGCAGCGGAGCAUGCGGCUUAAUUCGACGCAACGCGAAGAACCUUACCAAGGCUUGACAUAUAGCGAAAAGUGGCAGAGAUGUCAUGUCCGCAAGGGCGCUAUACAGGUGGUGCAUGGUUGUCGUCAGCUCGUGUCGUGAGAUGUUGGGUUAAGUCCCGCAACGAGCGCAACCCUCGUUCUGUGUUACCAGCAUUCAGUUGGGGACUCACAGGAGACUGCCGGGGUCAACUCGGAGGAAGGUGGGGAUGACGUCAAAUCAUCAUGCCCCUUAUGUCUUGGGCUGCACGCAUGCUACGAUGGCCGGUACAAAGUGCUGCGAGAUCGUAAGAUUGAGCGAAUCACAUAAAGCCGGUCUCAGUUCGGAUUGAGGUCUGCAACUCGACCUCAUGAAGUCGGAGUUGCUAGUAAUCGUAGAUCAGCAACGCUACGGUGAAUACGUUCCCGGGGCUUGUACACACCGCCCGUCACGUCACGAAAGUCGGUAACACCCAAAGUUAGUGGCCCAACCGCAAGGGGGGAGCUACCUAAGGUGGGAUCGGUGAUUGGGACGG
RNAcentral lists this ribosomal RNA (600 nucleotides) under uncultured bacterium. RNAcentral describes it as "bacterial SSU rRNA". It matches the Rfam family "Bacterial small subunit ribosomal RNA", at positions 880 to 1483 of the family's 1533-position model. The record is from RNAcentral.